GAUGAACGCUGGCGGCGUGCCUAAUACAUGCAAGUCGAGCGAACAGACGAGGAGCUUGCUCCUCUGACGUUAGCGGCGGACGGGUGAGUAACACGUGGAUAACCUACCUAUAAGACUGGGAUAACUUCGGGAAACCGGAGCUAAUACCGGAUAAUAUAUUGAACCGCAUGGUUCAAUAGUGAAAGACGGUUUUGCUGUCACUUAUAGAUGGAUCCGCGCCGCAUUAGCUAGUUGGUAAGGUAACGGCUUACCAAGGCAACGAUGCGUAGCCGACCUGAGAGGGUGAUCGGCCACACUGGAACUGAGACACGGUCCAGACUCCUACGGGAGGCAGCAGUAGGGAAUCUUCUGCAGUGGGCGAAAGCCUGACGGAGCAGCGCCGCGUGAGUGAUGAAGGUCUUCGGAUCGUAAAACUCUGUUAUUAGGGAAGAACAAAUGUGGAAGUAACUAUGCACGUCUUGACGGUACCUAAUCAGAAAGCCACGGCUAACUACGUG
RNAcentral lists this ribosomal RNA (497 nucleotides) under uncultured bacterium. RNAcentral describes it as "partial 16S ribosomal RNA". It matches the Rfam family "Bacterial small subunit ribosomal RNA", at positions 28 to 507 of the family's 1533-position model. The record is from RNAcentral.